Canis lupus familiaris (dog) is the source of this 2030-nucleotide long non-coding RNA. RefSeq lists it as uncharacterized. NCBI's taxonomy places the organism in Eukaryota, Metazoa, Chordata, Mammalia, Carnivora, Canidae. The record is from RefSeq and is a predicted model, not a curated record. The transcript is spliced from 4 exons.
GCAGAAUCAGAGCCACAGCAGCACAAUGGAACAAGGGCAAUUAUGUUGUACAAAAAGGGAGCAUUCCAUAGCCAACUUCUUUCCAAAUUAAUCUGGGAGAAGAAACUAUUCGAGUAGAGCCAGAGCUGUCUACUUUAAUUACUUCAAGGAUAAAAAUAAAGAUGGCUGUCCUUGAAGUAUGGAGAAGACGGGAGGCAUACUUCAGACUAAGCACUUCCUGGACAAGAAGGAUUUGUUUUGGUCUUCCUUUGAUCUCUAGAGACUAACAGAGAAAGCCAGUCUAUCACAUCUGUGAUUUCAUCCUUGAAGAUGUCUGUAAGGAUCAGUUUCCUCUUCACUGUCACUACGAAGUCUGGGCUCCUACACCAACAUGCAUACAAAAGUUGAGUUACAUGAUCUUCUUGUCUCUAACUGCUUUUCUUUUCUAUCCUACAUGUUGCUGCCAAAAACAAUUUUAUCAAGUCAACUAUCUUCUCAAAAAUGUACAAUAUCUCCUAAUUGGCAACUGUAAAAUCCAAAACUUUAUGACACAAGGGACCCCUAAAAUCUGGUCUUAUACUUCAUGUUAUAUGCACUAGCCAUUGUGUGAGGGGUUUUGAAUAUGAAGUGUUAAUACAAUCCACACAACCUUCAAGAUUAUUACUCCUCCAUUUAUAGACAGAAACUAAAAUUGAGAGGUUAAGGCCUUCUCCAAAGCCCCAGAAGUAGCAUAUGCCAGAUCUGGGAUUAAAGCAUAGGCCUGUCCUUUUCCAAAGCUGUAUCCUGAACACAAUCCUGAUUUCCUAAAAAGAAAUGUACAUUAUAUAAUUCUACUUUCUUCAUCAAUUCAAGGAAAAGGGAACCUAUAUGUAUUGAAUACUACAAGGGACUUUACAGGUGCUACAUCAUUCAAAUCUCAAAAAAACCAAUGAAAGACACACGAUAAUUAAAUAUUUACCAAUGUGGACAUCAAAGCUUAGAGAUGUUAAGAAACUUUCCCCAUGUUACAUGGCAAAAGUAGCAGGCAGAAGCAGGAUUUGAAUUCAGGUCUGCUUUCUGAAGCCAUGCUCUUUCCAAAUUUCUAUACUUCAUACUUCUCUAAACUUAAGUUCUUCUUUUCUCAAAUCCUUUAAUAUAGGCAUUGGUAAACUUUUCUGAAAAAGGUCAGAUAACAAGUAGCUUAGGCACUGAGGGAAAACAAUCUGUUACAACUCAACUUACUCACUGAUGCUUGAAGAUAGGCACAGACAGCAGUAAACAAAUGAGUGUGGCCGGGUUCCAAUACAGCUCCCUUUACAAACGUGGGCAGUGGGCCAGAUCCUGUCCACGGGCUGUGGUUUGUCAAUCUCUGCUUUAAGACAUUCUAUCCUCUGCAACAUACUUAUUAAGCUCAUUUUCAACUCUAAGGUUUUCUCUCGAAUGUGAAUAACUUUCCUGAUCCUCCACUGUAUUUAUUCUACCUCACCUUGUAGGUCCCCGUUUAUUCCUCUAAUAGGUCAUCUCUGGCUACUCAGACAACUCUCAUUCUGAAGUCAACACAGCAACAUCAACAGUUUAACACCCAAAUUUCAGAAGUUGCCUCAGGUAAACAGAGUAUCUCAAGCAGGCUCAAUAGGAACAAUGGCUUAUACACCGUUAGGCACAAGAUUAACAUAUACUGCAUAUUACACAUUUGGUGGCUAAUUCACUUAACUCAUAAAGUAUACAAUCUUCAAUUAUUAAGAUAACCUUAAUUCAUCUGAGCAAAAAAUAAGUGUUUCUUCCUCCUACCUUGAAUACUCCUUCACGUAAUUAAACCACUUUCAGUAUGAGAACAGUAAAAAAAACAAUAAACUGAGAAAAUGCUUACUAGAAUAGGAAGUAGCAUCCAUCUUUCCAACUUUAACUGGAGAACCAAUGCUUUUCAUCUCAAGACCAACUUCAUUCCAAAUCGGUUCCAGUUUUUUACAAUGGCCACACCAUGGUGCAUAAAACUUGUUGGGGGAAAAAGAAAAGACAGCCACUAAAAUGUUGCGCUAUUGUGUAUAGCAAUCUUAAUUUUUAAAGAAAUC